This 500-nucleotide ribosomal RNA is filed under the name uncultured bacterium. RNAcentral describes it as "partial 16S ribosomal RNA". It matches the Rfam family "Bacterial small subunit ribosomal RNA", at positions 30 to 523 of the family's 1533-position model. The record is from RNAcentral.
AUUGAACGCUGGCGGCAUGCCUUACACAUGCAAGUCGAACGGCAGCGCGGGCUUCGGUCUGGCGGCGAGUGGCGAACGGGUGAGUAAUACAUCGGAACGUACCCUGUUGUGGGGGAUAACUAGUCGAAAGAUUAGCUAAUACCGCAUACGACCUGAGGGUGAAAGUGGGGGACCGCAAGGCCUCACGCAGCAGGAGCGGCCGAUGUCUGAUUAGCUAGUUGGUGGGGUAAAGGCCCACCAAGGCGACGUUCAGUAGCUGGUCUGAGGGGACGAUCAGCCACACUGGGACUGAGACACGGCCCAGACUCCUACGGGAGGCAGCAGUGGGGAAUUUUGGACAAUGGGGGCAACCCUGAUCCAGCAAUGCCGCGUGUGUGAAGAAGGCCUUCGGGUUGUAAAGCACUUUUGUCCGGAAAGAAAUCGCGCUGGUUAAUACCUGGCGUGGAUGACGGUACCGGAAGAAUAAGCACCGGCUAACUACGUGCCAGCAGCCGCCGUAA